UCAAAAAACAAAACAAAACAGAUAUAUCCACACAUAACCGUAAAUUAUGAGCCAUAAGAAGGGGACUGGGGAGAUUACUUUUUUGUAGGUACUUAAUGACUUCCUUGAGACUGUAGAAUUUGACUUGCACCCUCAAGGCUAGGUGGGAUUUUAAUAGGCGAAUAGAUAAUCUGACGGUGUGUAGGGUUUAUAAGAACAGGUAAAGCCUGGACACAGAAAGACAAGUUAGGAGAUGAUGAAAAUGGUUUGGGUGUAAGAGAAUAAUAACCCAAACCAGAGUGUGAUACCAAGACUGGAAAAUUAGGAAUAUGUGUGAGAAAUACAGCAAAGGAACUCAAUAAGAUUCAUACAGAGGUGAAGUGGAAAGAAGGAAUCCAACAUGACCUUGAAGCUUGAAGCCAGGAUGGAGGGUAGCACCAUAAACAGAAGUUGUACAGUCGGAGAGAAGGGCCAAGUUCGAGGGAUGUUUGUUGUCUUUGAUUCUACCAGAGUUAAACAUAAUGUUUUGAUGGAGUGAAGUCAGAUCUAAAACAUAGAUAUUCAACUUCAAAUGUUAAAAAAAAAAAGCAGUGACUCUUAUUUCUAUACUUCAUCUCAAUCAAAGCAUGACUUUCUAUGCACAUGGAAAAUUCCAUGAGCUCACCCUCCUGCAGAGCUCCUUCCUGACAGAAACCAGGAGGGUUAGGCUUUCUAAAGAGCACCAGAUCCCAGAUCCCUGCUGAUAAACUCACUAAGUCAGAAAGAUACAAAAUCAACCCUCUCACUAUAGAGAGAAAUUCUCAACUCUGUCCAGAUACGUAUUGGUUUUUGCAGAGCUGCGGAAAUAACGAAAAUAUAGGGGUUUGGACUCAACCAGGCCUGGACUGAGUCCUGGCUCCAGCUCUUUCUUGCCAUGCAACCUUGGUUAAAUUAACUUUUAAAGCUUGAGUUUUCUUACCUGCAAAGGGGAGAAAAUAUAGUACUACUUUCUAGGGCUGUUAAGAGAAUUAAGUAAAAAAUCCAUGUAAAGCACUUAGCAUGGCACGUUAUGCAUUGUUCUAAGUGUUCUAAGAACACUACUUAGAAAAUGUUAGCAUUGUUAUUGCUAUAGUAUCAAGGGUAGCGUGGAUACCAGACGUUUUGUGUUCAGUUGUGAGAAAAGACUAUUUAAGGUAAUACGCUCCUGAAUGUGCUAAAAUCAAAUACCGCAGCUGGACCAGAUUAACUCAGGACACCACCAGUGGACUAGAAUUGCAAUGACCCCACACGAUCUUACCUGCUCCUCAGACCACAGCCAAGGAAGAGAUUUCUGACAAACAAGCAAAAACACAACACUGUCCACACAACUGUAAAUAUGCAAGGAAGAGUUUCUUCUUGCCUGAAAACUGCUGUACAAGCAUGGCACCAGCAUCUGAGGCAAAAG
RNAcentral lists this long non-coding RNA (1402 nucleotides) under Homo sapiens (human). Its description in RNAcentral is "HSALNT0356556". The record is from RNAcentral. Lineage: Eukaryota; Metazoa; Chordata; Mammalia; Primates; Hominidae.